GCUCUGUUUGGGUACACUGCUGGGGCUGCUGCUGCUCUGGUCUGUUCUGCCUAUGGAGCAGCCACUUUGCUGUACACCGCUACUCCGGGCCACUCUGCCUAUAAGGAAGCACUGCUCUGUGGGACAGUGAUACGGCUGCACACCGCUACUCCCGGGAACUCUGUCUUUGGGUCAGCCCUGCUCUGUCUACGGAGCAGCUAUUUUGCUGUAUGCUGUUGUUCUAAUAAACUUCUUUCUUUCACUGCUGGCUGGCGCUUGAAUUCUUUCCUGAGUGAAGCCAAGAAUCCUCCCAGGCUGAACGCCAAUUCGGGAUAAACCUGCAUCCGCUGGAUAACUUGAUAAUGAAUUUUUAAAUUAAUUUUUUCACUUAUUGAUCCACUGCUUGCACCCCUUGGACCUCUAAAUUUCUCAGUCAUUUUCUGUUUCCUGCAACCGAAGACCCCUAAGUUACACAGAAAUCAGAUUUAAAAAUACAGACUCAGACGAAUGUAAAUAUUUUGAAUUGAAUGGAGUGAAAAGUGCUGAGACUCCUACCCAUGUUCAGAGAUAUGAAAGUGGUGGUCAAUGAGAAAGAAUCUUUAAACAACCACAAGCAGUGACCGGUUGGAACCUGGGCCUCCUGAAGAUGAAGUUCAGAGAGCAGGUGGCUGUUGUCAUAGAACUGCUUAAAUAGAAUGAGGAAUGGUAGGCCCACCGAGUAGAAUGGCUACAUCUGACAGGCCUAGUAAUGAAAUUGGAGACUGGAAAGCCCAGGCCUUAUGGGUUUCAAAGCACAGGAUGAAAUUCAGAAUCCUUGUGUGAGUGUACAGAACAGUCCCUUAUUACUUGUAGCUAUGCUGCGGAGCACACAGAAAACUAAUUCCACGGAUGCAUUUUGCACCUUGCUGAAUUAUAAUAUUAGUUGAAUUCACAAACUCUCAUGUAUGUGAAAGCUAAGGCAUUAAUUAAGAAAGAGUGGACUCGGUAUAAAGUCAUAAUAACACUCUGGCAUCCAAUUUCCAGAAUUUAAAAUUAUCUCUCUGCCUAAAUAGCUGUGGGGUUCUAAAUAAGUUACUCAAAUUAUAUGUCUUACUUUUCAUGGGGAAUACUAACAAUAUUGUUAGUAGCAUUAUUUCAUGAAUAGCUAUAUUUUAAAGAAUAAAUUAGAUAACCCACACCAAACACUUAACACAGUGCCUAGUACAAAGAUAGUACUUGGAUGUUAGCUAGUAAUUCAAGUAAAAUCUUUAAUAAUUUUCAAAUAGAUGAAAAAGAAUUUGUAUUAAGUGUAUUUAUCAAACGAUUACUUACUCUGCUACACAAUCUUCAUGUUCAAAGAAAUUUAAUGCAUAUUUCUUACAAUCAGAAAUCUUCCAAUUAUUCUGGGAAGGUCUGAAUAAAACUUGCAAAAAUUUAAAUGAUAACAUAGGAGAAAUAGAAGGUCGAAGUAGUGAGACAAGAACUCAGUCAUAAGGUUUUAUAAGAUUAAGUGCUCAAUGAAUGCUCUUGGAAAAAGGUGUUAUAUUUUUCUUAAAUAUCUUUUUUAUCAAAUGACUAUUUGAUCUACUGUAUUUGAAGAGUUAAACUCAUUUCUACAUGUCUUAUUUUUCUUAUGUUCUUAUAGCAAGGAUCAGUCAGAUCUAAAUACUUGUUUCAGAACUGCACACUUUGGGUUUUGACAUUUAUUUUUUUAUUUCCUAAGCCAGAAAGUGAAUCUUUGAAAACUGUAAGACAAUAAUCCAAGUGGAAAAUGCUUUGAAAGCUCUUUGUAGUUGGCAAUAAGGCUUUAUUAAUGACAAUUGUUCUCACAUGAUGGAUGUACUUGCCAUAAUACCUAUGGGCUUAUACUGUGACUGUUAGUAUUUCCUUGAACAAUUCCCUAAGUGACCAUAUAUAAUUUAAUACACCUAGCCUCCCAAAACACAUUGUCUUGUGGAUUUGUCAGUAGUGUAUCUUAAUGAGAAAAAAUGUCCUCCUUAAAUCAAAUGUAAAUUACUUUUUUAAAAAAAUCUAACUACAGAUAAAACGUACUUUUAAAAAUAUAAUCUUGCAAUACAUUUAUUAAAAUUUUGUUAAAUGAAUCAUAUUUUCCAUUGAUUUGCACUAUUAUAUUAGAGAUGUGUUCCUAUGGUAAGAAAUUUGACCAAAAGUGAAUAUAUAAUACAACUUAGAAAUGCAGAGUAUUUUAGAUUACAUAUUCAACAAGAAAACAUUUUGCUGAAAUAAUAUGUAAAAACAUAUCUGUAAAGUUUUCUGCAUUCCUGUAUAUGAAUUAGAAAAAUAAUACCUUAAUCACAUAGCUAUUGUCGGGAGCAAUUAAAUAAGACUUUAAAUGCUAUAAAUUUCACAAUACUGUGCAAUAUUUUUAUCAUAAUCCCCUUUACAAACAAUAUGGCUUAUCUGUAGUUUGCCUUGCUUGCUAUACAAAUGCUCAGGUGACCAUCUGGUACAAAAUGGUGCUCAGAAUCAUUUACAUCUCUCUUUUUCUUCUAAGUUAUUUCAUUAUCUGUUUAGCAAUAAUUUCACAUAAAGAUAAUAACAUCUAUUUUGCUUAAUUUUCUAUUGAUAUCUAGUUUCCAACAAUAUUUUAGCUUUCUAUUUACUUUUAAAAUGUGGUUUGCAACAUAGCAAGUGAGUUCCUCUUUCAGUAAAGAUCGAGGACAGAGAAUUUGGGUCAUCUCGCCUAAAGUGUGUAAUAGCUAAAAAAAUACCAAUCUGGUUUCAAAGUGGAAAAAGUGACAUAAAGAUGUUGAGCCGACCCCUUCUCACUUUAUUUCUAUGGAUCAUGUCAUCAUUCUAAUUCAAGUGUAACAGCAGAAGUUGGAUUCUCUUCAUGCUACAAUCAUAUAAGAGAUGUUGCUAAAAUGUACACUUGUCAUAUUCCUUUAAAUACACCCAGAAAGGAUUUAUUCUUUCCAUUCUGUCUUCUCCAUUCCACUACCAUAACUUGAGUUCAGGGGGACUUUUCUCUCCCUGGACCAUAUAUCCCAAUAAUCUAAUAUAACUACAUAUAACACCAAUCAUUUCACACACUAGAUGCUGAUCUAAUCUUCUGCUCACCUCACUAAUCUUAUAUUCUUGAAAACAACUCUAAUCGUAUUACUGCAAAAAUAUCAAUAGCUCAUUACUUAAGCAGUAAAAUUUCAAACUCUUAAAUCUACAAGUGAAGGUCUACUGUCAUUGACCCCUGCUUUUCAUCCAGACCCCAAUUCUUCCUGACACUCCCAUGAAACUGGAGUACUUGCUCUUACUUAUCAGUACCAUUCUAGCACUCUUACCUCCAUUUGUUCGCUUGUGCUAGUUCUGGGUAUACUGCCGCCGUCUUCCCACACUGAUGAUCGCACCCAAAUAGAAGGUCAUUCAUUGAUUUUUUACUAUCAAAACAUUUAAUUAUUCACAAGACAAUGGCCUCCACUUCAUCCAUGCUGCUGCAAAUUACAGGAUUUCACAUUCCAUUCUAUGUAUCCCCUAAAUCUGUCAAAACAAAAACAAAUAAUUUAAUGCUCAUUUGCUUGAUUUAUUUCUGUCUUAAAUUAUUUGGGGUACUAGUAAAAGAAUGAGAUUAGAUUCAGACAAUCUCUAAGCCUCCUAAAGUUCAAAGAUUAUAUUCCAGGCACUCAGAAUAUCAUGACAAAAUGUGAAUAUUUUUGUUGAUUAAAGUGUUAUGUUAAAGCUUGUGUUUGACUAAAAGUGAACCGCUGGAUGAAUUUUCACAAUGUGAACACACCCAAGUAACCAACACCCAAAGAGACAGAAUGUCAGUGGCACCCCACAAAACACCUCUAGUAACCCCUUCCAGUUCACCAGAUCCAUCAGUAGGCAACUGCUAUCUUGACUUGUAAAAGCACAAAUUAAUUGGAAUAUUUUGGAACAUCAUGGACAUGGAAUUUCUCUCACAGUUUGUACUGUUUUGUGUCUGGCUUGUUGUUGUCGUUGUUGUUUAACAUUAUGGUUGUGAGAUUCAUCAAACAAACAAAGGUUGUGUUUGAAAGACAUUUUGCAAAUAUUUGUUUUUAAGUUACUGUCAAUACUUGAAAAGGUCGCUAGAUGUAGAUGUUCUUAGCCUUCCAAGGUAUCAUGAUUUCUCAGUUUCCUGCUCUACCUAGCACAGACAGCACCUAAUUCUUAUUAAACACAAUCAGCAAACCGUAGAAGUGUAAUAAUACUGUUAAAAAAUCUCGUUCCCAGCCAGGCGCGGUGGUUCAUGCCUGUAAUCCCAGCACUUUGGGAGGCUGAGGCAGGUGGAUCACCUG
This 4232-nucleotide long non-coding RNA is filed under the name Homo sapiens (human). RNAcentral describes it as "long intergenic non-protein coding RNA 2010". The record is from RNAcentral. Lineage: Eukaryota; Metazoa; Chordata; Mammalia; Primates; Hominidae.